Molecule: ribosomal RNA, 261 nt
Filed under: uncultured Actinomycetes bacterium
Lineage: Bacteria; Bacillati; Actinomycetota; Actinomycetes
Description: uncultured actinobacterium partial 16S ribosomal RNA
Rfam family: Bacterial small subunit ribosomal RNA
Source: RNAcentral
GGAGAAUGGAAUUCCCGGUGUAGCGGUGAAAUGCGCAGAUAUCGGGAGGAACACCGGUGGCGAAGGCGGUUCUCUGGGCCUGACCUGACGCUGAGGAGCGAAAGCGUGGGGAGCGAACAGGAUUAGAUACCCUGGUAGUCCACGCCGUAAACGUUGGGCGCUAGGUGUGGGUCCCUUCCACGGGUUCCGUGCCGCAGCUAACGCAUUAAGCGCCCCGCCUGGGGAGUACGGCCGCAAGGCUAAAACUCAAAGGAAUUGACG